This 130-nucleotide small nucleolar RNA is filed under the name Amazona aestiva (blue-fronted amazon). The record is from RNAcentral. Lineage: Eukaryota; Metazoa; Chordata; Aves; Psittaciformes; Psittacidae.
CUGCACUGCUCAGUGACCAGCUGGCCUUUCCCUGACCUCCUUGGUCUCAUUGUAGUGCAAGAGAAACUCCUCCUAGCAGAAGGGCCAGGCUCUCGCCAUGGUCUGUCCCUUUCAAAAGCUGGGUACAACC